Molecule: long non-coding RNA, 534 nt
Filed under: Crocodylus porosus (Australian saltwater crocodile)
Lineage: Eukaryota; Metazoa; Chordata; Crocodylia; Crocodylidae
Description: lncRNA (ENSCPRG00005002108.1)
Source: RNAcentral
GCUUUUUUUCCUGUCUGUCACUACCACCCAAGCCAGGGAAGUCCCCUGUGCUGACUCGUAAGCUUUUACCAUGAUAGAAAUCUACUCAAAUAAAUUGAUGCAUUGCACACCUGUUGUUGUUUUCCACCAGGUUUUCACCCGGAGCCAGGGGACCCAGGUUCCCUUUUCCAGACUGCUAUCUCGGUGCUGCACAACUCGUACUUGGAUUCUACUUUGCGGGGCGGUUUUCAGUACAGCCGAGCGAUUUCAGUGGAGAACGAAGUUUUCAUCGAUGAGUACAAAACUUUCUCCCAGGAGAAGAAAGCCAGUGGCUAUAGUGAGGAAGAACUGGAGGAAUCCUACGCCUUCCUUCUGUUUGAAAAUGAAGAUGGGGCAACAGAGGUGUGUCGGACAGGACUUCGUACAAACACCAGUUCCAUGACCACACUGGGUGAUCCAGCAAAAGGUAAGGUUUAAAUUCAGGUGAGAAAUGGUCUUCAAGCAGUUCUUUAAAAAAAAUAACCAGAUGAACUUGUAUGACCACAUUUUAUUUAU